GAUCAUUCACAGAGUUCAUGCCCUUACGGGUAGAUCUCCCACCCUAUGUUAUCAUUACUUUGUUGCUUUGGCGGGCCGUCAGGCUCACGCCCGGCUACCGGCUUCGGCUGGUAAGCGCCCGCCAGAGGACCCAAAACCCUGAAUAUUAGUGUCGUCUGAGUACUAUAUAAUAGUUAAAACUUUCAACAACGGAUCUCUUGGUUCUGGCAUCGAUGAAGAACGCAGCGAAAUGCGAUAAGUAAUGUGAAUUGCAGAAUUCAGUGAAUCAUCGAAUCUUUGAACGCACAUUGCGCCCCUUGGUAUUCCGGGGGGCAUGCCUGUUCGAGCGUCAUUACAACCCUCAAGCCUAGCUUGGUAUUGGGCCUCGCCACUAACCUGGCGGGCCUUAAAAUUAGUGGCGGUGCCGUCGUGGCCCUGAGCGUAGUAAAUAUCCUCGCUAUAGGGACCCGGCGGUUACUGGCCAGCAACCCCCAACUUUUCUAAGUUUGACCUCGGAUCAGGUAGGGAUACCCGC
This 514-nucleotide ribosomal RNA is filed under the name Leptodontidium sp. aurim688. Its description in RNAcentral is "eukaryotic LSU rRNA". The stretch from base 178 to 331 matches the Rfam family "5.8S ribosomal RNA". Lineage: Eukaryota; Fungi; Ascomycota; Leotiomycetes; Helotiales; Leptodontidiaceae. The record is from RNAcentral.